RNAcentral lists this long non-coding RNA (1219 nucleotides) under Marmota monax (woodchuck). The record is from RNAcentral. Lineage: Eukaryota; Metazoa; Chordata; Mammalia; Rodentia; Sciuridae.
AAGAAGGCUCUUGCAAAGUCUGACAUCCUCGUAUUGGACUUCCUAGCCUCCAGAACUGUGAAAAAUAAGAUUCUUUAAUAAUUACCAGUCUGUGGUAUUCUGUUACAGCAACAUGAAAUAAUCAUAAGACAUUUUCUAAUGAUGUCCUAGCCUCCCAUCGAAGGAUGCAUUUAUACAUUUGUUUUUUUCCUGUAUUUCUUCUCAGUUUUUUUUCCCCAUUCAUUUAGUCUGUCUUGUAUGUGUAUAUGGUGCUGGAAAUUGAACCCGGGGUCUUGGAUAUGCUAGGAAAGCACUCUACCACUGAGUUAAUCCCCAGCCCCUGUUUAGUUUUUCUUACUAGAGAUUUUCCUCAAGUUUCUGGUUCUGAGGUUAAUAGGGAUAACAAACUGAUUUUCUUCUUUACACUACAGCAACGAUCACUUCUGACACUAGAUCUGUGGUGAUGGUUUCACCACAAACCAAGCAGUCAGUUCUGUAGAGUUCUGUAAAUUGAAUUCAGUUCUGACAUUCAAUUUAAUUCUAAUAUUAACUACCUGGAGAUAGCAUUAGAUCCCACAGGUUAAAGGUUCAGUUUCUCAGGCCCUGGGUUUUUUACCUGUGCUUCUGACCCCUGUGAAAUGGAGUUUCCACAGCCCCGCUCCUUGGAUUUAGCUGGAUUGCUAGAGUGGCUCAUAGAACUCAGGGAAACACUUCCCUUUGAUUAUAAAGGAAAUGACAGGAUGCAGAAGAAGAGAUGCAUAGGGCAAGGAAUGUUGAAAGGAGUGAGGAGCAUCUAUACCUUCUGGGUGCAUACCCUCCAGACCCUCCACAUGUUUAGCUAUCUGUAAGCUCCUUAAACUCAGCCCUUUGGGGUUUUUAUAGAAGUUUUGUUAUGUAGGCACAGCUGGCUAAGCCAUUGGCCUUUAAUGAUCAACUUAACUUCAGCCCUUGCCCCCUCCUGGGAGGUUGGUGGAAUGAGGCUGAAAAGGCCCAAACUCACCAUACCCUAUUCUUUCCUGUGAUCAGUCCCAUACUGAAUCUACUUAAGGGCUAAGUACUAGUCAGUUUAUUAGCAUAUAGAGAGGUAUAACUCCAGACAUUCCAAGGAGUUUAGAAGUUAUAUGCAAGGAGACAAGGAUGAGGACCAGUGUGGUAUGUAUUUUGCAGUACUACACUGGUGUUCCUUGAUGUUCUUUUGAUGUUUGGAAUAGAGUGCUAAAAUGCUAAUUGGAAAUGCUGU